RNAcentral lists this ribosomal RNA (447 nucleotides) under uncultured bacterium. Its description in RNAcentral is "partial 16S ribosomal RNA". It matches the Rfam family "Bacterial small subunit ribosomal RNA", at positions 29 to 523 of the family's 1533-position model. The record is from RNAcentral.
AGCGAACGCUGGCGGCAGGCUUAACACAUGCAAGUCGAACGCCCCGCAAGGGGAGUGGCAGACGGGUGAGUAACACGUGGGAACGUACCCUUUGGUUCGGAAUAACUUGGGGAAACUCCAGCUAAUACCGGAUAAGCCCUUAUGGGGAAAGGUUUACUGCCGAAGGAUCGGCCCGCGUCUGAUUAGCUAGUUGGUGGGGUAAUGGCUCACCAAGGCGACGAUCAGUAGCUGGUCUGAGAGGAUGAUCAGCCACACUGGGACUGAGACACGGCCCAGACUCCUACGGGAGGCAGCAGUGGGGAAUAUUGGACAAUGGGGGCAACCCUGAUCCAGCCAUGCCGCGUGAGUGAUGAAGGCCUUAGGGUUGUAAAGCGCUUUUACCCGGGACGAUAAUGACUGAACCGGGAGAAUAAGCCCCGGCUAACUUCGUGCCAGCAGCCGCGGUAA